RNAcentral lists this non-coding RNA (29 nucleotides) under Rattus norvegicus (Norway rat). Lineage: Eukaryota; Metazoa; Chordata; Mammalia; Rodentia; Muridae. The record is from RNAcentral.
UGAACUUGACUUUGAUGCCAGGUAUUACU